GUGGGGAAUAUUGGACAAUGGGGGGAACCCUGAUCCAGCCAUGCCGCGUGUGUGAAGAAGGCCUUUUGGUUGUAAAGCACUUUAAGCGAGGAGGAGGCUACCGAGAUUAAUACUCUUGGAUAGUGGACGUUACUCGCAGAAUAAGCACCGGCUAACUCUGUGCCAGCAGCCGCGGUAAUACAGAGGGUGCAAGCGUUAAUCUGAUUUAAUUGUCGUAAAGCGCGCGUAGGUGGCCAAUUAAGUCAAAUGUGAAAUCCCCGAGCUUAACUUGGGAAUUGCAUUCGAUACUGGUUGGCUAGAGUAUGGGAGAGGAUGGUAGAAUUCCAGGUGUAGCGGUGAAAUGCGUAGAGAUCUGGAGGAAUACCGAUGGCGAAGGCAGCCAUCUGGCCUAAUACUGACACUGAGGUGCGAAAGCAUGGGGAGCAAACAGGAUUAGAAACCCUUGUAGUCC
This 451-nucleotide ribosomal RNA is filed under the name uncultured bacterium. Its description in RNAcentral is "partial 16S ribosomal RNA". It matches the Rfam family "Bacterial small subunit ribosomal RNA", at positions 354 to 796 of the family's 1533-position model. The record is from RNAcentral.